GGGUAUUUGAAGUCGUGUCCGUGUUUUAAUGUCAGAAUGGGUUUACUAGUUUAGUGGCUUGUUGUGUGUUAGUGUACCUCUGGGUUCUGAUUUCGAACCGUCAUGUGUGUGGUUUGGGGAAAUAAUUUUAAUUUAGUUUUGUUUUAAAGUCCAAAAUACCUAUUUUAAUUUUAAUUUUUUUUUUGGAUAAAGCUUCCCAAAAUCACUUUCACAUUCUCUUGUUUCUCUCCCCACUCUCUCUUGUCAGUUUUUAUUUUUCUUCUCUUCUUUUUAUUUUUCUUCGGGUUUUAAAAAU
This 295-nucleotide long non-coding RNA is filed under the name Gossypium raimondii (Peruvian cotton). Its description in RNAcentral is "long non-coding RNA (GRAI_LNC010673)". Lineage: Eukaryota; Viridiplantae; Streptophyta; Magnoliopsida; Malvales; Malvaceae. The record is from RNAcentral.